AAUAACUGAUAGGAACAGCCAGACACUGUACAUUAUUUUCCAAAAAUAUCAAAUUGUACAUAGCAGUUGUGUUUUUCCAACAGUAAAAAAAUAGUAUAUACCCAGGAUUAGUAAAGGCAAGCAGUUCUGCAAACAUAUGGCAAUGAGUUAAAUGGAAAGGACAAUAUAAAACCCACCCAGGGAUAGAGGAUUAUUCUUGUCACCUUGUUCCUAAUAUAACAUAACUACCUUGCAUGAUAAAAAUCUAUGUAAUAUUGUAAUUUCAGAAACAACCUAGAUGCAAAUAAAAAUUUCUUAUUCACCAUGUGUCUUCAAAUCACACAAAUCAACACCAGAAACAGUUCUUUGAAUGAAGAAUCAUUAACUGUACAAUCCCCCACCUCUCCCGUACAUGCUAAGCAAUAUUCUGAAGAAACAUUAUAGAUAUUAAGGCUUAAUAUCUACAUGUUCAAAAGUGCAAAUAUUACUGUUUAAGUUCAACUUCACAGAGAUAAACCAUGCAUGCUUUGUGCAUUCACUGUGUGUAUAUAUACCAAGGCCUAAUUUCUACAUGCAUGCUAAGCCCUAUUUAGUGUGUAUAAACCAUGAGUGCUACUCAUAUCUGGAGUAUGCGUGUAUAUAUACACACUAACCCCUAAUUUCCACAUAUUCAAAAGUGCAAUAUAACUAUUAUUCAAUUUCACAAAGACAAACCAUCUGCACUAUUUGUGUGCCAAUGCACGCACAUGGAACAAUUGCAACAGCUUUAUCAUUACCAUUAUCAUUAUUGACAACUUGAAAAAAUGACCAACAGAACACAAAUAAACAAAGCACAGGCUAAAGAGAUUAACAGUUCAGGGCAUCAAGAAAAAAAUCAAGCUUUCAACUUUCAAUCUAAAGGAUAAAAAAAUAUUUUACAACCAAGACACCAUCUAAAGGCUCAUCAUUGCUUGAGAAGAAAUUUACAGACAAAUAACUUACAUGUUACAAUUAUUUUGCA
This 979-nucleotide unclassified non-coding RNA is filed under the name Hevea brasiliensis (rubber tree). The record is from RNAcentral. Lineage: Eukaryota; Viridiplantae; Streptophyta; Magnoliopsida; Malpighiales; Euphorbiaceae.